AUGGAUUCCAUCAUGGCUAAUGGGACAUGGGAGAUCACUGAGCGUCCCUAUGGUUGCAAACCACUGGGAUGUAAGUGGGUGUUCAAAAAGAAGCUUAGGCCCGAUGGCUUUGUUGUUAAUGAAGCUGACAAAUGUGUACACUAUCGCCAUGGUGGGGGCAAAGGAGUCAUACUAUGCCUGUAUGUUGAUGACACACUGAUAUUCGGAACCAACCUCAAAGUCAUUGAGGAGGUUAAGUCGUUUCUAUCUCAGAACUUUGAGAUGAAGGACCUUGGUGUGGCUGAUGUUAUCUUGAACAUCAAGCUACUGAGAGAUAAUGAGGGUGGGAUCACACUUCUGCAAUCCCAUUAUGUUGAGAAGGUGUUGAGCCGUUUUGGAUAUUCAGACUGUACUAUGAACUACGGACUUCACUAUACCGGAUACCCGUCGGUACUUGAAGGGUAUAGUGAUGCGAAUUGGAUCUCUGAUGCUGAUGAGAUGAAGGACACAACUGGGUAUAUGUUUACUCUUGGAGGUGGCGCUAUUUCCUGGAAGUCUUGCAAGCAAACGAUCUUAACGAGAUCGACAGUGGAAGCAGAAUUAACAGCAUUAGACACAUCUGGUGUCGAAGCAGGAUGGCUUCGUGAUCUUUUGAUGGACUUGCCAUUGGUUGAUAAACUGGUUCCGGCUAUCCUUAUGAACUGUGACAAUCAGACUCUCAUCACCAAGGUAAAGAGUUCAAAGGACAACAUGAAG
This 735-nucleotide ribosomal RNA is filed under the name Triticum aestivum (bread wheat). Its description in RNAcentral is "partial small subunit ribosomal RNA". The record is from RNAcentral. Lineage: Eukaryota; Viridiplantae; Streptophyta; Magnoliopsida; Poales; Poaceae.